GUAACACGUGGGUGAUCUGCCCUGCACUCUGGGAUAAGCCUGGGAAACUGGGUCUAAUACCGGAUAGGACCAUGCUUUAGUGUGUGUGGUGGAAAGUUUUUCGGUGUAGGAUGAGCCCGCGGCCUAUCAGCUUGUUGGUGGGGUAAUGGCCUACCAAGGCGGCGACGGGUAGCCGGACUGAGAGGUUGGUCGGCCACAUUGGGACUGAGAUACGGCCCAG
Molecule: ribosomal RNA, 220 nt
Filed under: uncultured Actinomycetales bacterium
Lineage: Bacteria; Bacillati; Actinomycetota; Actinomycetes; Actinomycetales
Description: partial 16S ribosomal RNA
Rfam family: Bacterial small subunit ribosomal RNA
Source: RNAcentral